CGGCCGCAUCGUGCCAGCACUGCCUGCCCGCUGCCUGCAGUGCCUGGGAGAGUUCUCCGUGUUUCUCUCUCUUCCCUUUCUGCACAGGAAUCGUUACUCACUCUGCACACAAUGCCAGGGUAUUCUAUGUCUCUGUGAUGGCAGCAGAGUGCAGCCCUAGGGCUUGACCCCAGCCUCAGCCUUUGCUUGGGGACAGUUAGCAUGGAGACAGCACCUGCCUGCAUAGCCUGAGCUUACUUGGAGGGAAGUCAAUGGUAACGGCCUUCUCUAUGAAAGGAACACUAAGUUUACCUGUGAAGGAGGUAUUCCCACCUACGCCAAAUGCAUGACUGGAGAGAAUUUCAAGGCGUGG
RNAcentral lists this long non-coding RNA (352 nucleotides) under Gallus gallus (chicken). RNAcentral describes it as "long non-coding RNA NONGGAT003323". The record is from RNAcentral. Lineage: Eukaryota; Metazoa; Chordata; Aves; Galliformes; Phasianidae.